UACGUAGGUGGCAAGCGUUGUCCGGAUUUACUGGGCGUAAAGGGCGUGCAGGCGGUUUGUUUAGUCUAGGGUGAAAGCUCCCGGCUUAACUGGGAGAGGUCCUUGGAUACUGGCAAACUUGAGGGAGGCAGAGGAAAGUGGAAUUCCCGGUGUAGUGGUGAUAUGCGUAGAUAUCGGGAGGAACACCAGUGGCGAAGGCGGCUUUCUGGGCCUUACCUGACGCUGAGACGCGAAAGCGUGGGUAGCGAACAGG
This 253-nucleotide ribosomal RNA is filed under the name uncultured bacterium. RNAcentral describes it as "partial 16S ribosomal RNA". It matches the Rfam family "Bacterial small subunit ribosomal RNA", at positions 524 to 776 of the family's 1533-position model. The record is from RNAcentral.